Molecule: unclassified non-coding RNA, 273 nt
Filed under: Hevea brasiliensis (rubber tree)
Lineage: Eukaryota; Viridiplantae; Streptophyta; Magnoliopsida; Malpighiales; Euphorbiaceae
Source: RNAcentral
GGGGAAUUGAUAAAGACAAUUAGUGAACAGUUUUACAUGAAAUAGAUUGGUGAAACAAAUGUUACAAAUCCUUCCCAGAUUUCUUUAAAUAUUAGUAUAUCUAUCUAUCUAUGUAAACAAAUUCGAAGCAUUGCCUUUCCUCUAGAGGCUUUGUUUAAUUGCUAUUCUACACUUAUGUUGAGGGAAGGUAGAGGACAGAGAGACAGAUUCAUUCUUUUUACACAAAUUCAAGCACUCAUACGAAAUGUUUUAACCCAUAGCAUACUUCUGGGU